GGCGCGGGCGGCGGUGGCGGCGGCGGCGGUGGGGCGGGGGUUUCACAGCGCAUGUCCGCCCGCCGCGCCGCCACUAGCCGCUCCCCCCCGCCGCCAAACUCACCACCAUCUUCUGCAUGUGCAACGCUUGCAGCCGGUCAGAAACCGCUCCCCGGCGAUGGAGACUGCGGGAAAAAUCCGGCGCGGCGGCAUGGCUUGCUGAAACGGCAGCAGCGGCCGGAGAGAGGCGGGGCGGCAACGGGAGAGAAUAGCGAACAGAUACUAAAACAAAACAACACGCUAAAAAAAGAGCAAAAAAGGGAAAGAAGGGUGGAAAUCUCUCUUUUUAUUCCCCCCUUCCUCUUUUUUUUUUUUUUUUUUUUAAUUCUUGAUUUUGUUUGUAGCCACCUCGUCCUCAAUGCCUCUCUGAGCAGCAUCUAGCGAGCGAGCGGGAGAAGGCGAGACAGAGAGGCAAAAGAGAAGAUGAGGAUAAUUUGCAGACAGCUUGUCUUGUUGUUUUCUGGCUUUUGGGGACUAGCAAUGGGAGCUUUUCCUAGCAGUGUGCAAAUAGGUGGUCUCUUCAUCAGGAACACAGAUCAGGAAUAUACUGCUUUUCGAUUAGCAAUUUUUCUCCAUAACACCAGCCCAAAUGCAUCUGAAGCACCUUUUAAUUUGGUUCCUCAUGUAGACAACAUUGAAACAGCUAACAGCUUUGCUGUAACAAAUGCCUUUUGCUCCCAGUAUUCUAGAGGUGUUUUUGCCAUUUUUGGACUAUAUGAUAAGAGAUCAGUACAUACCUUGACCUCAUUCUGCAGCGCCUUGCACAUCUCCCUCAUCACUCCAAGUUUCCCCACAGAGGGUGAGAGUCAGUUCGUGCUGCAGCUGCGGCCAUCUCUGCGGGGAGCACUCCUGAGCUUGCUGGAUCAUUAUGAGUGGAACCGCUUUGUCUUCCUGUAUGACACCGAUCGAGGUUAUUCAAUACUUCAAGCUAUUAUGGAAAAAGCAGGACAAAAUAGCUGGCAAGUCAGUGCCAUCUGUGUGGAGAACUUUAAUGAUGCCAGCUACAGGAGGCUUUUAGAAGAUCUGGACCGAAGGCAAGAAAAGAAAUUUGUAAUAGACUGUGAAAUAGAGAGGCUUCAGAAUCUCUUAGAACAGAUUGUGAGCGUGGGAAAGCAUGUUAAAGGAUACCAUUAUAUUGUUGCCAACCUGGGAUUCAAAGAUAUUUCAUUGGAGAGGUUUAUGCAUGGAGGAGCCAAUGUAACUGGAUUUCAGCUGGUAGAUUUCAGUACCCCAAUGGUAACUAAGCUGAUGCAGCGCUGGAAGAAGCUGGACCAGAGAGAAUACCCAGGAUCCGAGACCCCACCAAAGUAUACAUCUGCAUUAACAUACGAUGGAGUACUCGUGAUGGCUGAAACUUUCCGUAAUCUUAGAAGGCAGAAAAUUGAUAUUUCAAGGAGAGGAAAUGCUGGUGAUUGUCUUGCUAACCCUGCAGCCCCAUGGGGUCAAGGAAUUGAUAUGGAGAGGACAUUAAAACAGGUUCGAAUACAAGGAUUGACAGGAAAUGUUCAGUUUGACCACUAUGGUCGCAGAGUCAACUACACCAUGGAUGUCUUUGAGCUGAAAAACACGGGCCCUCGGAAGGUUGGUUACUGGAAUGACAUGGAUAAAUUAGUUUUGAUUCAGCAUGAACCUACACUUGGAAAUGACACUUCAGCCAUUGAGAACAGAACAGUAGUUGUCACUACAAUUUUGGAAGCCCCAUAUGUUAUGUUCAAGAAAAACCAUGAUACGUUUGAAGGGAAUGACAAGUUUGAAGGAUACUGUGUAGAUCUGGCGUCAGAAAUUGCAAAACAUAUUGGUAUCAAGUACAAAAUUGCCAUUGUUCCUGAUGGAAAAUAUGGAGCAAGGGAUCCAGAGACAAAAAUCUGGAAUGGGAUGGUGGGAGAACUUGUUUAUGGGAAAGCAGAGAUUGCUGUUGCGCCUCUGACCAUCACUUUGGUACGAGAAGAGGUCAUUGAUUUUUCCAAGCCUUUUAUGAGUUUGGGGAUAUCCAUUAUGAUCAAAAAGCCCCAGAAAUCUAAACCGGGAGUGUUUUCCUUCUUGGAUCCUUUGGCGUAUGAGAUCUGGAUGUGCAUAGUCUUUGCCUACAUUGGUGUCAGUGUGGUCCUGUUCCUAGUUAGCAGAUUUAGUCCAUAUGAGUGGCACACAGAAGAACCAGAGGAUGGGAAAGAAGGACCCAGUGACCAGCCACCCAAUGAGUUUGGCAUAUUCAACAGCCUCUGGUUUUCCCUGGGUGCCUUUAUGCAACAAGGAUGUGAUAUUUCCCCAAGAUCCCUCUCAGGUCGCAUUGUUGGAGGUGUCUGGUGGUUCUUCACGCUCAUCAUUAUUUCAUCCUACACUGCUAACCUCGCUGCUUUCUUGACUGUUGAGCGAAUGGUCUCACCCAUAGAAAGUGCAGAAGACCUUGCCAAACAAACUGAAAUUGCUUAUGGGACACUGGACUCAGGGUCAACCAAAGAGUUCUUCAGAAGAUCAAAAAUAGCAGUGUAUGAAAAGAUGUGGACCUACAUGAAAUCAGCUGAGCCAUCAGUGUUCACUAGGACUACUGCAGAGGGAGUAGCUCGUGUCCGCAAAUCCAAGGGCAAGUUUGCCUUCCUGCUGGAGUCCACCAUGAAUGAAUACAUUGAGCAACGAAAGCCAUGUGACACCAUGAAAGUGGGAGGAAAUCUGGAUUCGAAAGGCUAUGGCGUAGCCACACCGAAGGGUUCUCCAUUAAGAAAUGCUGUUAACCUCGCAGUUUUAAAACUGAAUGAACAAGGCCUCUUGGACAAAUUGAAAAACAAAUGGUGGUACGACAAAGGAGAAUGUGGCAGCGGGGGAGGUGACUCCAAGGUUAGCCUCAAUGUCACCAAAAGCGGGUAAACAGUAUGUAAUGUAAUUGGUGCAUCUGCUGGGGUUUUACCUGUGACAAAACAGCCUCACCAGUAGCACAGCACUGCUGGUACUUGCAGCUGAAAUCUAGGUGUAUGCAAUUACUGUCAAAGCAAAAAUAUUUGCAUUUUUUAAGCGUCCCAAGGGGAACCUGUAAACAGCCUCUGCUGUGAGAUCACCAGUUUUCAGAAACCUGCAUCUUCUGAAAUCAUGAUGAGCCUUUUACAAGCUUGCUCUAGUGAACAAGCAGUUUGAAACCUUCAGGACCCACUGACAGCUCAGACUUUUUUCCUAGUAUGUGGUACUACCCAAAAUAUUUUUCAGUGACAGUAGAGGAAAAGGGUGAACACCAGUCUGACUGCCUCCUAGCAGUAGUCUAAUGCAUGGUCCAGGCUCAGGGAUCCACUAUUCACACAAACAAUACCAGUGCAAAUCACAAUUUUCACAUGAGCAUAGAAAUUGGAGGACAGUUUUCAGCUAAAAUAUCUUCACUCUGGCAUUUCCUUAUGUCUUACCAGCAAACUGAAAUCCAUGGUGGUUCCCUAGGCAGAAUUUAUCAGACAGGAAUUUUAGGCUGAGGUGAUGACAGCUUCUUAGUCUUCCUGCAUUUCCAUAUUUUCCAUAUGGCCAUUGCCACUACUUCCUUGCCUCCACACAGCUUCCUUUUGGGAAACUGCCUUGUGCUGAAAAGAAGCAAAAAUGUGGAAGAUGGUGAAGUGAAGGAGGAUGAAGCUAUUAAAAAUAUGCCUUCUGUGCCAGGCAGCAUAUAAUCAUAUUUAUUUAUGUGCUUGUGUGUAAACAAUAUAUAAGAGAAUGCUGCACAGGUAACCGUGCAAGCACAGAGCUAGUCAGAUACAGAUUAAAUUUGACUGAAUUGUUAUACACAGUUUAUACAGUUUUCUUUACAGUUGCCUACAUAUGUUUUUUUCUUACUAUUUUCUCUCCUUCUUUAGUCCUCCUGCUCUUUCAUGCUGUGUUCUGGCCUCAGGGACCAUCCCUUGGGCUGUUCUGCACUCACCCAGAACUGCUCUCCUAAUCCUCUUCACUUUGUCUUUAGUCCUGCUGCUCUACCUGUUUUCCCCCCACCGCUCUGCUUGCCAGCAGUCACAGUUUCAAAAAUGGUCUCUAUUUUCUCUUCUAAAGUGCUUAGACAUAUUAGACCUGAUGGCACUUACCUGCGAGUGGAGCAGACACCAACUUCUUGUAAGAAUAUUGACAAGUGAACCAUAAAUCUCCUGUGUUGCUACUAUUAUGUGCUCCACCCAAGCCUGAACUUUGGAUUAUUGAUGGAGGGCUUUUUAUUGUAAUUUUUUUUUUAAUGUCACAGGCAGGGAUUCAUAUAAUUAAAAUACCUCAAUUUUCUUAGAAUACACUCCUCACAAACCUCCUGUGAUUGCAGGGUGAGAUAAAAGCUAGGUUGCAAACCAAGGAUGCUUAAAAAUUACUUUCCCCAAUUACCACCCACUGGUGCUUUGGGUCAUGGAGCAGAAGGGGAACAGCUCAUGGUAGAGGGAUGGGCAGGGCUUCACCAAGGAAAUGUCUGGAAGUGCUGAAAGAGCAAGUUUGGAGUGAUGGCAAGUGACAGAAAAAGGAGUGGAAGAAAAAAGUAGAAGGAGUGCAGUCCAUGGAGAAACAGGGAGGACCUGUGAAUGCAGGAGGGAGGAAGGAACACAAUGCCAAUGGAAACAAGCAAUAAAUGCCACAGGUAGUUCAGGAUGCAAUAGAAAAUAUGGUGGGCAAGGCAGUGUUGGCAAAGGAUGUUGAACAUGAUGGAGCUCAACCUGUGGUCCUAGGACUAUAUGCAGCCUGCCAAGAGCAUUCAUCUGACCUCAGGCCUGUUACUUGCCACACUUUUUCCCAGGCACAGCUGAGUGAGUAGGCAGUAUCAGUGCUCCUGGGCAGCCCUGGGUCUGUCUGCACCUGCAGUGACCAUAUUCAUGGAACCACCACAGCAUGGAGAUGAGCAGGCAUUACCCUGCUUCUCAGAUUCUGCAUUGCAGCAGCAUCUGGUCUUAAAUUUUAAACUACAGCUACUCUGACUUCCCAAACUGUUAGCUAGCCAUUUAUCAUCUGCAAAAUUCAUUUCCUUGUUCAGGAACAGUCUUGUACAAUCUGAUCAAUUAAAGUCAAUAAGACCCUUUCUACUGAAUUAAUGGAGCUCUAAAUAUUUUAAUUUUAUAUGCUAGCAAAUGAUCAUUAGUGGAAUAACCAGGACACCAUGCACUGUUGUUGUAAACCAACAAUUCCUGAACUAAGCUCUUGAGCAUCUCUAGCUAAUAUUUCUUUUCACUGUAUGAAUUUAAAAAGAACAAACCCUGAGCUUUGUUAGCAGCUCCAGUCCAAAUUGCAGGGCUCCCUACUGUCAUGAAUGAGAGUAAGAACAUCCUCUUCUCCUGAAAUACGGGACCUGAGACUUUUCUGAUAACUGUGCUGUUACUAUUUGAGAUUCAUUAGUCAGAAUAUGAGUCUAGACCCAGAAUAACCCUUCAUGAUAGUAUAGACGACUACAGAAAUAGGGGAGAUUCAUGAGGGCUCAGCAGUUCUCCAAAGGUUUGUGUUGCUCUGAAAAAUGAGGUUUCUCCUACCUCCAUUCUGUGCUCUUAGAAGGUCAUCUCUAGCCUCCUGAUUUACUGUUUCCUUUAAGGAACAAUCUUCCAAAAUUCAGAAAGACAGUUCAGAGAGCUGCCCUGUGUAAACCACCCUGUGGUUUAGUGACCUCAGUAAUUAAGUCACGUUUGAAGACAAAACUGAGGUCCCCAAGUCCUUUGAGUGCUUUUGAAAGUAUUACCUCAGAUCUUAAUUGAGGUAAUCAUCAUUUCAUGUGAUGCAUGGGGCGAUAUUUAAACCCAGUUUCUGCCAGUCUGCUCCAAUUGUAUUUAGGAAAGUGUGAGUGGAAGGAAGCUGUGCUGAUGUAGCUCUCCUCCAUUUUCUGCUGGCAGCCCUCAAGAGAACACGCUGGCCCUUGUUUUUCAUUCAGCGGAUGAGACUGACCUUACACUUAAUUAAUGGCUCAGCCAUGAGUGCGUAAUGAAAAUGCUCCAAAAGCAUACUCGUGAUUGCAUUUUUAAAAUCCCAAUCUACCAAAAUUCUGCAUUGGCUUCAGAAUCGCUCAGCAUUGUAAUUUAAAUGCUCUAAUUGCCCAUUUGUUGUCCUGAACACAACUAUCUCAGAACUUCAUUAAUGCUAUUUUAAAGUACUGUGAUUUCACUGAUGUUGCUGGCACAAGAUCCAGCCCGAGGCACUUAAAAACCAGCGCUUCCAAUAGCAAGUGAUUGAUGACAGGGAUAGGAGGAAAUGAGUAAAAAGAUGAGAGAGGAGGUAGUAAGGCUGGGAACGUGAUGAAAAUAUAGAAAACCAGUGUUCCCACACCCAGGUCAUGCUGCACCACCACUGUCUUCAGCACAUGGAUGAAGAACAGUCUCCUGUGCUGCCACACAACAGUUUUGCACUGUGGCUACAUGGGACAAAUUCUUCUCUGUAUAUAAAGAGUAAUUUUAGUUAUUAUUUCUCAUACAUUAUCCUUGCAUGAAUUUGAGGCAGAUGGAUCCUGUUUAUAUAUAACAAUGGAGAUUUUAGGCAGAUGUACAUUGGAAAAACUACACUGAUUUUUCACAAACUGCCAAUUUACUCCAGUUGAAGAUUAAGCCCAACAUUAGUAACUCAGGAAUUACUAAACAACUUAAAAAAUCUACAGUCAUUUUCCAUUGUAAUACUAAGUAUAAAAGACUGAACUUGAUGGGUAAUUUUAAUUCUAGAUGCUGUAUUUACCUCUGUAUAUGACUUAAGUACAUUGCUCUGCAAAGAAGAAAAAGUCCCUACCUGUAUCAGACUUUAUAUUCCUGAACUGUUAGUGCCGAAAAAACAAAUGAAGGACUGGGAGACAUCUGUUUUCUGACUUGCCCCAGCUUGCUGCUGGUCUUGAUAGCCCAUAUCAAGUCCUAAUUAUCACUUUAUUCAUCUUAACCUGCAACAACUCCAAAGGCUUCUGAUUUUCCAUGUGAGAACAGUACCUGCAUGUCCCUUAUAUUUGUCAUAACCAACCCUGUUGUUACACUGUAGGGAUUUAGAAGCACCGAAGUGUGGCCCAGUGCCAAUACAAUACAUAUUACAGAUGAUGGCUAUCCAAAUAGUGUUAAUUAUUUCAUGCUUGUACUAGAAGCAAACAUAGGAUCAUGUUGACAGGCAACUUGCCAGCAUCUCAAACUGCUACCCACUGAUUUCACAGCUGUGGGACUCUCAUACUGCACUAUCAACCUGCACAACCUGCCAGGGAGCCUGAAGACAAAAUGUAAGUUUGAAUACUGGAAAAGAUCAAGAAAAAAACAUGUUCUGUUCCAGAAGCAGAGUAUUCCAUAUGAAUUGAAUGUGUAGGCUCUGGAAAGCGGAUGAAGCAUUUCCCUUACAUACAGGGAUCAUUGAGAGUACCUGGGAAUCUUCUCAACAGUGGCUGUCAAAAAUUGUCAUUUCUCCAAAGCACCAAGGCUUCCUCAGUAUUAGAAGAGGAAAGAUGGGCAUUUCAACAGCAUGCUUCAUCCUUUGUUAAAACUGGUAUCUAAGCCCACCUUUUGAAGGUACCUAUCUUUUUCUCUUAAUUGCAGGGAGGCCUAGAGAGGCAGCCAAGGCUUGGGGUAUAAUUUAUGGGUGAAAAAACUGAGGUGAGGUAAAUUCCCCCCUUUAUGUAUAUAUACAAAUAGUAAUCAGAAUGUAUGAAAAGUCAGGAUCCCUAAAGCUAAGAGUAGCACAUGAGGUUCAGGAGAUGUUAUUCGUGCAUUAAAUGUAUAUAUACAAACCUGCACAAAUAUAUGAACAUUUGGGGAUUUCCAGUUAAAUCAGUUACAUAGUGUAGCAAUCCCUUUUCUCUUUUGUAGUAAAUACUUUAGUAGGCUCAGUUACACUAUACUAAUUAAUGCUUGCACUGGUUCUUUAUUUAUUAAGCCUUGAAUUCAUGAGUUAACAUUUUAGCAAUGCAUGGAUUAUGGUGUAUUAUGAGAGAUUAAUUUUCCCAUAGUAAUCUGCUCAGGUCUUAUGUCUUAUAACAUCACCAGAAGACUAUCUGUCACAUGCUAUUUCUGUUUAUCUACCUCCUUCUCUGAUAUAUAUUGUAUUUUCCUGCACACCUGCACAUAAAUAGAUAUCCAUAUACCUACCACAUUGAGAAUUGGACAGUCGGUGAUUCAAAGUGGAAAGUACAUACAAUAAGUCUGUUAAUAAUUUCCUAGAUUCUUAGAAAAAAUUGGUACAACUGCUUGAAGUGGAGAAUUACCAUAAUAUUCUGAGAUUAUUCACUGAGUUUAAAUAACUUCAGUGCAAACCCAUAGUAGUUCAUGGCUCUGAGGCAUCAGAUUAGGUUUCAUCUCAAUAUUAAACUCUGUUACAUCACCCAGCAGCAAAUACCACUAGUAAGAGAAGAUAUUCCAAGUAGUAAUUUAUCAUCACCGUGAUACUGUUGAAAGACUUAUGUGAAUAAGUGAGAUAUAAAGAAAACUUUGAAUUUGAAAAUAUUGAAACAGGAAAUGGAAAUAAAAGAUGGACUGUCAUGUUCUUCUUAGCUGAGAAUAAGGGCAUCACAGCUCUCCCCCGAAGUUCUCUGCAUGUAGACCUCCUAAUUACAGGUCUGUGCCAAGUGGUUAUGAGCAGCAAACUGCACAAAGCAUCUCCAUUCUCAUGGCAGGAUAAUUUUGAGGGCAGUAAAUGAAAUAGCUAUAGCCAAGUCAUGUUAUUAGUUUGUAUGCAUGCAAACUAAAAUUAGAUUGAAAACAAGGAACACAAAUGCAUAUGUUUUUUAAGACAUAUAUCUAGUUAUAUUAUGUAUGUCUCUGAAAGGUAUGUUGUUAAUAUGUCUUAAGCCAAUAGUUUUGGGUUCACAGUAAUUGCAUACUAUUUAUUUACAAAUCUUCCCCAGCAGUAUGUGCCUGUUACCUAAAGCGAUGGAGCAGGUCCCGGUCAUAUGUCUGUCUCUAAACCUGGGCCAACAGUACAUGACAUAGCACCCACUGUGGCCUCUGCUCUGUCACUUUGCAAUGCGAUUCUAUGUAGUUUUACUUGAAUAACAUAAAAUAACAUAUAUAAUGUUAUUUAUGUUAUUUUCCACGUGAAGAACUCCUGUAAACCUUGCCGUUUUGAAACUCAGUGAGGCAGGCGUCUUAGACAAGCUGAAAAACAAAUGGUGGUACGAUAAAGGUGAAUGUGGACCCAAGGACUCUGGAAGUAAGGACAAGACGAGUGCCUUGAGUCUCAGCAACGUUGCUGGAGUCUUCUACAUUCUGGUUGGAGGCUUGGGCUUGGCAAUGCUGGUGGCUUUGAUAGAGUUCUGUUACAAGUCCAGGGCAGAGGCGAAACGAAUGAAGCUUACCUUUUCUGAAGCCAUAAGAAACAAAGCCAGAUUAUCCAUCACAGGGAGUGUGGGAGAAAACGGACGCGUAUUGACUCCCGACUGCCCGAAGGCCGUGCAUACUGGAACUGCAAUUAGACAAAGUUCAGGAUUGGCUGUAAUUGCAUCGGACCUACCAUAAAAACCAAAAAAAUAAUUGAGUGCCUUAAUCAAACUGUGUUGGUGACUGAUGGGAACACAGCACAGACUGUAAUGACAUGGGAGCGCCAUUGAUGAACUAAUAAUUUGGCUGAGAAAGGGAAGUACGUCCAAAUGCGCCAGACAUCAUCAGCAACAAUGUGUGCAUGAGCUCAGCUCGGAAACCCAAACUCAGAUUUUAUAUCAGGAAAAUUCAUAAUUUAGUUUUGUUGGGGGGAGGGGGCUGGGAAGGGUGUAUUAACAGCAACAAAUUUCACUUGAGUGGACUUAAAACUAAUAAGACUUGCCAAUUUAGCGCAUUAAACUGUGAAGAACAUGCUCAGAAUUGACGACAUUUUGGUCUUUUUCUUGACAAAGAGAGAAAAAUAGCUAUAGAAGUCAAUGAACAUGCUAACCUGUGUCUCCAGAACAUCAGUAUAUACAAUGGAGGAAUACUCAGCUGUUCGGCUGUAGAAAUGAAUCACUAAACUGUGAUAAGAAAAUAAUAAAUAUGUAAAUCCUGUGAAAAAAUAAAGAAAUUAUUUACAUUUUCUUUGAAAAAAGAGGAAUAUUGAAACAUGCUUGCUUUUUAACUGAUGUAAAUUCGGUAGAGGACAACACAAUUCUUUUUUCUAACCAUCUUAGGGAACAAUUCAUUGCAAUAAUUGAUAUAAAAUGCCAUCACUGUAAUAAAAUUCAGAGACUUUUUUUUUAUAAAAGGUGUUGGUCAUCCUCUUGUUUGCUGUUACCUUCAUUCUGUUCCAUCAUUCCGUGUUCCACAGAUUUGCAUCUGUCUAAUACAAGAAACAAAAUGAUAAAAUGUUUAGAGUACGUCAUCAGUCUGCAGUGUAGAAUCAAAAGAGACUACGGGUCACUCAUGUUACAGAUAUUAUUUAUAAUCUUGUUCUGUGUAAGAAACUGUGGUUUUUGUACCCACCAAAAAGAAUAAAACAACAAACGUUCUUAUAAUAUUGACAGA
Molecule: RNA transcript, 10397 nt
Organism: Strigops habroptila (Kakapo)
Lineage: Eukaryota; Metazoa; Chordata; Aves; Psittaciformes; Psittacidae
Gene: GRIA4
Gene name: glutamate ionotropic receptor AMPA type subunit 4
Exons: 16
Source: RefSeq, a predicted model, not a curated record